Molecule: ribosomal RNA, 636 nt
Filed under: uncultured bacterium
Lineage: Bacteria
Description: bacterial SSU rRNA
Rfam family: Bacterial small subunit ribosomal RNA
Source: RNAcentral
AAAGAUCCGUCGGAUGGGGAUAGGCUCGCGUGACAUUAGCUAGACGGCGGGGUAACGGCCCACCGUGGCGACGAUGUCUAGGGGUUCUGAGAGGAAGGUCCCCCACACUGGAACUGAGACACGGUCCAGACUCCUACGGGAGGCAGCAGUGAGGAAUAUUGGUCAAUGGCCGGAAGGCUGAACUAGCCAUGCCGCGUGAAGGUCAGUGCCCUAUGGGCGUUAAACUUCUUUUGUGCGGGAGCAAUAAUGGUCACGUGUGGCCAGACGAGAGUACCGUACGAAUAAGCAUCGGCUAACUCCGUGCCAGCAGCCGCGGUAAUACGGGGGAUGCAAGCGUUAUCCGGAUUUAUUGGGUUUAAAGGGUGCGUAGGCUGUGAGGUAAGUCAGCGGUGAAAUGCCCCCGCUCAACGGGGUGAAGUGCCAUUGAUACUGCCUUGCUGGAAUGCGGAUGCCGUGGGAGGAAUGUGUGGUGUAGCGGUGAAAUGCAUAGAUAUCACACAGAACACCGAUUGCGAAGGCAUCUCACGAAUCCGCGAUUGACGCUGAUGCACGAAAGCGUGGGUAUCAAACAGGAUUAGAUACCCUGGUAGUCCACGCUGUAAACGAUGAUGACUAACCGUCGGCGAUACACAGUCG